AUACGUAGGGGGCAAGCGUUGUCCGGAAUUACUGGGCGUAAAGAGCUCGUAGGCGGCUCAGCAAGUCGGUCGUGAAAGCCCGAGGCUCAACCUCGGAACUGCGGUCGAUACUGCUGUGGCUAGAGUCCGGUAGAGGAGAGUGGAAUUCCCGGUGUAGCGGUGGAAUGCGCAGAUAUCGGGAGGAACACCAGUGGCGAAGGCGGCUCUCUGGGCCGGUACUGACGCUGAGGAGCGAAAGCGUGGGGAGCAAACAGAAUUAGAUACCCUAGUAGUCC
This 275-nucleotide ribosomal RNA is filed under the name uncultured bacterium. RNAcentral's name for it is "partial 16S ribosomal RNA". It matches the Rfam family "Bacterial small subunit ribosomal RNA", at positions 523 to 796 of the family's 1533-position model. The record is from RNAcentral.